UACGUAGGGGUCGAGCGUUGUCCGGAGUUACUGGGCGUAAAGAGCUCGUAGGUGGUUUGUCGCGUUGUCCGUGAAAUCCCCUGGCUUAACUGGGGGCGUGCGGGCGAUACGGGCAGACUGGAGUACUGCAGGGGAGACUGGAAUUCCUGGUGUAGCGGUGGAAUGCGCAGAUAUCAGGAGGAACACCGGUGGCGAAGGCGGGUCUCUGGGCAGUAACUGACGCUGAGGAGCGAAAGCGUGGGGAGCGAACAGG
RNAcentral lists this ribosomal RNA (253 nucleotides) under uncultured bacterium. Its description in RNAcentral is "partial 16S ribosomal RNA". It matches the Rfam family "Bacterial small subunit ribosomal RNA", at positions 524 to 776 of the family's 1533-position model. The record is from RNAcentral.